Long non-coding RNA from Homo sapiens (human), 1993 nucleotides. Ensembl annotates it as family with sequence similarity 201 member A. Its record names the gene FAM201A. The record is from Ensembl. NCBI's taxonomy places the organism in Eukaryota, Metazoa, Chordata, Mammalia, Primates, Hominidae.
GGGCUCCCGCGGGACGUCCCGGAAUCCCAGGAGUGCAUCCCUUCCCGCCUGAGGGCCUGCCUGGCCCUGACUCCCGACCCGCUCCUCCUCCGAAGAGAGAUCGGGGCCGCUGACAGGGGCCCUCCGCAGCCACCGGGGAUGGGACUGGGGGGUCGGUUCCUGUCCCGGUGCAGCCGCCGCCGGGUAGACCGCCUGGCUUGGCCGCAGCCAGGGCGACAUGUAGCCCCGGUUCUGCCAGGCUGGGAGCGCCAGCCAUCUUGGGAGUUGCCAGGCAGCUGUCGCCAGCAGGACAGCGGGCUGGGAAGCCAGGGGCCGCCGGGACCUGGGGCUGGAAACCACAUCUGCCCACAGCCGCAGCCUCCUGCACCUGUCAUCCUGGCGGCGCCCUGACGUCGGAGAAGCAGCAGGCGCGGAGCUCCUGCAGCGGGCACCGCUGCAGCAACCCGACCCGGCGCAGGCGGCAGUGGAAGGCGGCCUGCUAGCACGGCUCCCGCGGCCCCAGGACCAGGGGUGCGGCCAGCACCGCCCUCACUCCCCGCGUCUCGUGGAUAUUGCCCUCCCUGGAGGCGGCUGGACCUAAGCGAGGCUCGCAGCGAUCGGCCCCGCGAAGACUCGCAUGCAGGGCUCAGGAUCCCGCAUUCUGGCGCCGCGGCACCGCACCUUUCAGCAGCCCUGCUCCUCUUCUUGUUGGUAAACUUUUGUCACUCUGCCAUGAAAAGCAUCCAGGCGUCCUUGAUUUCGACAUUGCGUGCACGCUCAGCCGAGCUCAUCAGACGGGCGGUUGUCCCCAGAGCCCGCGGGUAGCUUGUUCCCGGGCGGCGGCUCCUGCUGGAUGCAGCUCCUUGUGGGCCUACCAGGCUUGGUGGAGCCACAGCAGACCUGUGGAGAGGAAGAGUAAGGCGGGCUCUGCAGGGCAGUGGGCCGGGACCAUGAGAGAGGCGGGUCAGUCUGGGCUCCAAGCUCAGCCUCUCGGAUUCCCCGGGACCCACGGCUUAUAAUGCGCUUAAAUCCCACGCCUCGCCCGAGAGACAGCACGUCACCGUCACCGUCACCGCCUAGCGCCCCUGACCCGCUCCCACUCCGCUGCAGCGGAGGGUGUGUGAGGGAGAGGGACGCAGGGAGGGAAAAGCGUUGGGAGGGCAAACAUCUUUUCAUAAGCUUUUCCCCUUCUAUAUGCCAUCUCUGAUGGGAGCCUCUUUAGAUCUUUCGUCCAUUUACUAAUUGGGUUGUUCGAUUUCUUAUUGUUGAGUUGUAAGUGGUUUUUAAUGGUCUGGAUGCCAGACAGGUGUUUUGCAAAUAUUUUCUCCGUCUGUGGCUUGUUUCUCCAUUCUCUUAUUUCCUUUCCCAGAGCAAAAGUUUUUAAUUGUAACGACUUCAUACCAAUAUCUUCUUUCAUGGUAGAAAUUUGUCUUUUAUGUACUUUACUGUUGUAUCUACAAAGUAAUUGCCAAACCCAAAGUUACCUAAAUAUCCCUUUUGUUAUUUUACAGAAGUUUUACAGCUUUUGGAUUUAAAUUUAGGUCUAAAAAUUGAAUUCAUAAAAGUAGAGAGUAUAAUGAUGCUUACCAGAGGCUGUGUUGCUGGGGAGAAAAAUGGGAAGUUGUUCACAGAUGCAAAGAUUCAGUUAAACCGGAGAAAUGCGUUUUGAAAUCUAUUGCACAGCAGGAUGACUAUAGUCAAUAAUAAUGUACUGUAUAUUUAAAUAACAAAAAGUAAAUUUCAAAUAUCUAACCACAAAAAAUAAAAUUGAGGUGAUGGGUAUUUUUUAUUUUAUUUAUUUAUUUGUUUAUUUAUUUAUUUUUUUGAGACAGAGUCUCGCUCUUUCGCCCAGGCCGGACUGCAGUGGCAGGGUCUCGGCUCACUGCAAGCUCCGCCUCCUGGGUUCACGCCAUGAGGUGAUGGAUAUUUUAUCCUCGAUGUAGUCAUUCCUCAUUUUAUACACAUAUCCAAGCAUCACAUUGUACCCCAUAAAUGUAUGCAAUUGUGGUUUGAC